Molecule: unclassified non-coding RNA, 2031 nt
Filed under: Daphnia magna
Lineage: Eukaryota; Metazoa; Arthropoda; Branchiopoda; Diplostraca; Daphniidae
Description: uncharacterized LOC116932056, transcript variant X4
Source: RNAcentral
UGUGGUAGCUAGGACCGGUUAGGACAUCAAGUUGCUAACCCUUAUUCCAUAUUUCAUGCUUCUAGAAAGUGUCAGCCAUCUUGGACAUCAUUCAAAAAUUACAUGGCGAAUUGCUGCAAAUGCUGUAGUUACUGACUAGCUUAUCAAACUGUUUGGUAAUCUUGAUCCCUAUCGAAACAAAAUGAAUAGAGAGCCUCCCAAGAACGUGUACAGCAAUAACAGACUAAAGAAAAUUGAACCUGUUGCAUGGCCCAUCGAUAAUAAACGCCAAUCUUCUCAUCAGUAUACCUCUGCUGCUACAAGCAUUGGGAUGGCGGAAACCAGUAAUUCUGUGAAUACAAAAGAUAGAUCUCUACAUUUCAACAAAAGCCAAACAAAAUACGAAAAGCAUUUUGAGCCAAGUUCAUCAAAAGUUUUGGCUUCCAAAAAGCUGAAGGAAUCCCCACGUGUGAAACAAGUUUUACCCUUAAACUUAAAAAAUCCACCCACGUUUGGAGAUUUGGGUAUUCCACUGAAACACAGGUAUGUUCAAAGAAAAAGUACCAGCAGUAACAAUUGUUCUCUGCAGCCUCUGGCUAAGAAAUGCAGGAAAAAUUUUGAUAGUUCAGAACUACAAAGCAACCUACUUUGUGUUCAUCGUGAUCAAAGUUCUGACAACCCAUUAUGGUUGUCACCCAAAGAGUCUCCCAACCAGUCAAUAGAAAAGAGCAACCUUAAUGACCCACAUGGUGCAAGUGAAUUUUUUCAGAUGGUUAAAGCAACUCUAAAAGAUACAUUUGAAGAAAUUGUCAAGGAUUGUCCUGAAUUUUUAACCACCACAUUAAAUGCCAAAGAAAAGUUACUUAAAAAAUUACGUUCCUACACCCAAAGACAGCAAGCGAUGUUGGGAGAUCAUGCAAAUACGGAGGACAUGAGAAGCGGUGAAUCCCACGUUCUCCUCGAUUUAACUCGUCCGAUAGGAUUUAACCGAUUCCCUGGAGAGUCGUCCACAGAGAGCCAAGCUACUAAGCCGAAGCUACAGCUUAACAAUGCGACUCCAACCACUGUGGUCACAACAGAAGCAUGGGCACCUGUUGCUUACGGUUUCAAGAGUUAUACUACACCGCGGGAAUUCUUGCCUCGUUCUCGCCGAUACACGGGAUCAAUUACUAACGUUAGUGAGAGAAUGCCCUCUGAUGCAAUACAAAUAUCAUCGAAAGGUGAAUGGAAGUCUUUCUUUGAAUCAAAGUGGCAGUAAAAACAACCUCGAGGAAACAGAUGAAUCGACCAAUGCCUGUCUACCAUUGUUUAAUCCUCGCAAGGUUUGUGGAAGAUCCGUUCUACGUUGAUUAAUACCGCGUAGUGGUCCCUAAAGAAGCCGAUGUAAUCAAACCUUUUGAAGUUUAAAACCUUCAACGAUAUUUUUCCCUCCCAUUUUGGUGGAUGCCACUAAAAACGUACCUUCCAACGGAAGUCUUUGAAGUAUUUCUUAAAGAUCUUAACAUCUAAUAUCUUAAAAAAAAAAAAAAAAAAGCUGCGAUGGGGGUAAAUCAAUGAUUCUGCCCGUGUUCACGAUUAUACUAAAUGGUGAACGCGUGAGCAGACGGAAUACGAGCGCGCAGCACAUUUUUGUCAUAAGAUUGUAUUGGACAGAUUCCGAUGAAGCGUGUGAAUGAUUUUGCUGGUUUGCUUGCUUGUAAUCGAAUUAUUGACAGCGGUUGCCAUGGGGGGGGGGGGUGAGAAUUCAAUGUAACAACGAUUGGAAAUCUCAUAUCGGCUCGUAAGAAAUAGGAGUGCCAUACAAAGACGAUCGAAUUUUCUGCGGACUUUAUUUCUUUUGGUGUCUACCUUUUGAUCGCGAAUUGAAAUUCGUAUCUGACUUGCUACACCUCCUAGACAUCAUUGAAGAUUGUUGAUCGGAAAAACCUUUACAUGGUGUCGAAUCUUUAAAUAAUCGAUCGAAGCCCGUCCUCGCCUCUCCGUUGAGUAAUUUUGGUUUCUUUAUUGUCGUCGAUGUGCCACUCUUUCAUUUUUCCUCUUUUGUUUGUUUCC